RNAcentral lists this ribosomal RNA (492 nucleotides) under uncultured bacterium. RNAcentral describes it as "partial 16S ribosomal RNA". It matches the Rfam family "Bacterial small subunit ribosomal RNA", at positions 29 to 507 of the family's 1533-position model. The record is from RNAcentral.
AGUGAACGCUGGCGGUAGGCCUAACACAUGCAAGUCGAACGGCAGCACAGUAAGAGCUUGCUCUUACGGGUGGCGAGUGGCGGACGGGUGAGGAAUACAUCGGAAUCUACUUUUUCGUGGGGGAUAACGUAGGGAAACUUACGCUAAUACCGCAUACGACCUACGGGUGAAAGCAGGGGAUCUUCGGACCUUGCGCGAUUGAAUGAGCCGAUGUCGGAUUAGCUAGUUGGCGGGGUAAAGGCCCACCAAGGCGACGGUCCGUAGCUGGUCUGAGAGGAUGGUCCGCCACACUGGAACUGAGACACGGUCCAGACUCCUACGGGAGGCAGCAGUGGGGAAUAUUGGACAAUGGGCGCAAGCCUGAUCCAGCCAUACCGCGUGGGUGAAGAAGGCCUUCGGGUUGUAAAGCCCUUUUGUUGGGAAAGAAAAGCAGCAGGUUAAUACCCCGCUGUUCUGACGGUACCCAAAGAAUAAGCACCGGCUAACUUCGUG